Molecule: ribosomal RNA, 253 nt
Filed under: uncultured bacterium
Lineage: Bacteria
Description: partial 16S ribosomal RNA
Rfam family: Bacterial small subunit ribosomal RNA
Source: RNAcentral
UACGUAGGGUGCGAGCGUUGUCCGGAAUUAUUGGGCGUAAAGAGCUCGUAGGCGGUUUGUCGCGUCGAAUGUGAAAACCCGGGGCUCAACCCCGGGCCUGCAUUCGAUACGGGCAGACUAGAGUUCGGUAGGGGAGUCUGGAAUUCCUGGUGUAGCGGUGAAAUGCGCAGAUAUCAGGAGGAACACCGGUGGCGAAGGCGGUUCUCUGGGCAUGUCCUGACGCUGAGGAGCGAAAGUGUGGGGAGCGAACAGG